Molecule: long non-coding RNA, 1290 nt
Organism: Oncorhynchus tshawytscha (Chinook salmon)
Lineage: Eukaryota; Metazoa; Chordata; Actinopteri; Salmoniformes; Salmonidae
Source: Ensembl
GGUCUCUGUAUGCGUCCAGACACUGGAGCAGUCGUUACGCCAGGACUAACCGGGCAGUUCGCCCCCUGGGAAACUACAGCGUUGUACUACUACGCUCCGUUCAUAACGUGCUAAAGGCCAAAGAAAUUCGGUAUAACUUUAGGAGAUGUCCGAAAGGUUCCUUUUUAUAAACUCAGUGACACCUGGUCGGGUGUCCGCUGUUAUGGCGACCGCCCCGGUGAGCGAGGCAGAGUUCACAGUAAACCCAAACCAGACAGCAGAGGGUUUCAUCAAGGCGCAGUGUGUUCUCCUGUUUGCCAAAACUCAGUUCUGGAUGGAAUCCCCAAGCUCCCAGAAGAUUCCAUGACUCCUGGACUACAACUCCCAGCAGCCACCAGGAUGUGUAACAUUCUGUGACAUCAAACUGAGGGGUUUAGGACUAUAAUAGUCAUUUCAUAAAUAAUUCUCUAGCCAUUUUUAGUAGGCCUACUAAUGCUGUAUAUUGUGUAUAUUUGAUCAUACACUACACUGUUGUUUUUACUUGUCCCAGGGUUUGAGUUGUGUGACUGGACCGUGUUAGGCUGAUCUAGGAAGACACUUGUCCCAGGGUUUGAGUUGUGUGACUGGACCGUGUUAGGCUGAUCUAGGAAGACACUUGUCCCAGGGUUUGAGUUGUGUGACUGGACCGUGUUAGGCUGAUCUAGGAAGACACUUGUCCCAGGGUUUGAGUUGUGUGACUGGACUGUGUUAGGCUGAUCUAGGAAGACACUUGUCCCAGGGUUUGAGUUGUGUGACUGGACUGUGUUAGGCUGAUCUAGGAAGACACUGAGGCUCAUGUUGGAACUUGGCUUUGCGGGAGGGAGAUAUCUUAUCAGGCAGGUACAUGAUGCUGUCCUACUGGCACAGAGAACAGUGGGGUCAGAGGUCAGCCUCCUCGAGCCUCACAGCAAUCCCAACUGUGUACAACAUAGACAUCACUCUGACCCUCCACCCUCUCCUCUUUCGAACACUCCUGUACCCUCUUAUGACUGUUUAAUAACCCCUGUGCUUCAUGUGACAGGACACACACACAGAAUAAUGGGUCACAUUCAGAAUGUCCCAUCCUGUCUGUCAACAGUAGUUCAUUUUAUUCAUAUCCAGUAGCAUCAGAAUAAUUUUUUAAUAAUGGUGUUGACAUCACUUCCCCCUGAAACCUCAACAGGCAGAGACUGUGGACCUGAACACAGACUCAUGCUCUCACGCACGAUCUUGAUUGGUCCGCUUGUCCCGUCCAACCCCCACCUCCUUGUCUUAGUAGUUCUCCGCCUCGUG